This 619-nucleotide ribosomal RNA is filed under the name Hansenula anomala. RNAcentral's name for it is "Wickerhamomyces anomalus partial large subunit ribosomal RNA". It matches the Rfam family "Eukaryotic large subunit ribosomal RNA", at positions 37 to 668 of the family's 3401-position model. Lineage: Eukaryota; Fungi; Ascomycota; Saccharomycetes; Phaffomycetales; Wickerhamomycetaceae. The record is from RNAcentral.
UGCAUAUCAAAAAAGCGGAGGAAAAGAAACCAACAGGGAUUGCCUCAGUAACGGCGAGUGAAGCGGCAAAAGCUCAAAUUUGAAAUCUAGCACCUUCGGUGUUCGAGUUGUAAUUUGAAGAUGGUAACCUUGGGUUUGGCUCUUGUCUAUGUUCCUUGGAACAGGACGUCAUAGAGGGUGAGAAUCCCGUCUGAUGAGAUGCCCAUUCCUAUGUAAGGUGCUAUCGAAGAGUCGAGUUGUUUGGGAAUGCAGCUCUAAGUGGGUGGUAAAUUCCAUCUAAAGCUAAAUAUUGGCGAGAGACCGAUAGCGAACAAGUACAGUGAUGGAAAGAUGAAAAGAACUUUGAAAAGAGAGUGAAAAAGUACGUGAAAUUGUUGAAAGGGAAGGGCAUUAGAUCAGACUUGGUGUUUUACGAUUAUCUUCUCUUCUUGAGUUGUGCACUCGUAUUUCACUGGGCCAGCAUCGAUUCGGAUGGCAAGAUAAUGGCAGUUGAAUGUGGCUUCACUUCGGUGGAGUGUUAUAGCUUCUGCUGAUAUUGCCUGUCUGGAUCGAGGGCUGCGUCUUUUGACUAGGAUGCUGGCGUAAUGAUCUAAUGCCGCCCGUCUUGAACCACGGACCA